GAUGAAGAACGUAGCGAAAUGCGAUAAGUAAUGUGAAAUGCAGAAUUCAGUGAAUCAUCGAAUCUUUGAACGCACCUUGCGCCUUUUGGUAUUCCGAAAGGCACACCUGUUUGAGCGUCAUGAAUACCUCAAUCUCCAUCUUUUCUUCGGAUUGAUGGGUGACUUGGAUGUUGAGCCCUGCUGGUAUGCUAUAUCAGCUGGCUUUAAACUUAUUAGCCGUCUCUGUACUGGAUCGGUUUGACUCGACGUGAUAAUAUUAUCGUUGAGGAUGCAUGUCUCAUGCAGCCGGAAAGUAUCAAAGCAGCUUCUAGCUUGCCUUUAGUGCACUUUUACAUUUUAGACCUCAGAUCAGGUGGGACUACCCGCUGAACUUAAGCAUAUCAAUAAGCGGAGGA
RNAcentral lists this unclassified non-coding RNA (395 nucleotides) under soil metagenome. RNAcentral describes it as "partial contains 5.8S ribosomal RNA, internal transcribed spacer 2, and large subunit ribosomal RNA". The stretch from base 1 to 120 matches the Rfam family "5.8S ribosomal RNA", at positions 35 to 154 of the family's 154-position model. The record is from RNAcentral.